UGCAGUCGAACGAGACCUUCGGGUCUAGUGGCGCACGGGUGCGUAACGCGUGGGAAUCUGCCCUUGGGUUCGGAAUAACAGCUAGAAAUGGCUGCUAAUACCGGAUGAUGACGUAAGUCCAAAGAUUUAUCGCCCAAGGAUGAGCCCGCGUAGGAUUAGCUAGUUGGUGAGGUAAAGGCUCACCAAGGCGACGAUCCUUAGCUGGUCUGAGAGGAUGAUCAGCCACACUGGGACUGAGACACGGCCCAGACUCCUACGGGAGGCAGCAGUGGGGAAUAUUGGACAAUGGGCGAAAGCCUGAUCCAGCAAUGCCGCGUGAGUGAUGAAGGCCUUAGGGUUGUAAAGCUCUUUUACCCGGGAUGAUAAUGACAGUACCGGGAGAAUAAGCUCCGGCUAACUCCGUGCCAGCAGCCGCGGUAAUACGGAGGGAGCUAGCGUUAUUCGGAAUUACUGGGCGUAAAGCGCACGUAGGCGGCUUUGUAAGUUAGAGGUGAAAGCCUGGAGCUCAACUCCAGAAUUGCCUUUAAGACUGCAUCGCUUGAAUCCAGGAGAGGUGAGUGGAAUUCCGAGUGUAGAGGUGAAAUUCGUAGAUAUUCGGAAGAACACCAGUGGCGAAGGCGGCUCACUGGACUGGUAUUGACGCUGAGGUGCGAAAGCGUGGGGGAGCAAACAGGAUUAGAUACCCUGGUAGUCCACGCCGUAAACGAUGAUAACUAGCUGUCGGGGCUCUUAGAGUUUCGGUGGCGCAGCUAACGCAUUAAGUUAUCCGCCUGGGGAGUACGGCCGCAAGUUA
This 793-nucleotide ribosomal RNA is filed under the name Sphingomonas sp. TAP2-8_Pa. RNAcentral describes it as "bacterial SSU rRNA". It matches the Rfam family "Bacterial small subunit ribosomal RNA", at positions 56 to 896 of the family's 1533-position model. The record is from RNAcentral. Lineage: Bacteria; Pseudomonadati; Pseudomonadota; Alphaproteobacteria; Sphingomonadales; Sphingomonadaceae.